CCUGGCGGCACUAGCGCGGUGGUCCCACCUGACCCAUGCCGAACUCAGAAGUGAAACGCCGUAGGCCGAUGGUAGUGUGGGGUUCCCCAUGUGAGAGUAGGGAACUGCAGGAU
RNAcentral lists this ribosomal RNA (113 nucleotides) under Klebsiella pneumoniae. Lineage: Bacteria; Pseudomonadati; Pseudomonadota; Gammaproteobacteria; Enterobacterales; Enterobacteriaceae. The record is from RNAcentral.